AGUGAACGCUGGCGGCAGGCCUAACACAUGCAAGUCGAGCGGCAGCGCGUCCGACCACCCUCGGGUGGUCGGAUGGCGGCGAGCGGCGGACGGGUGAGGAAUGCAUCGGAAUCUGCCUCGUUGUGGGGGAUAACGUAGGGAAACUUACGCUAAUACCGCAUACGACCUACGGGUGAAAGUGGGGGACCUUCGGGCCUCACGCGAUGAGAUGAGCCGAUGCCGGAUUAGCUAGUUGGCGGGGUAAAGGCCCACCAAGGCGACGAUCCGUAGCUGGUCUGAGAGGAUGAUCAGCCACACUGGAACUGAGACACGGUCCAGACUCCUACGGGAGGCAGCAGUGGGGAAUAUUGGACAAUGGGGGCAACCCUGAUCCAGCCCAUGCCGCGUGUGUGAAGAA
Molecule: ribosomal RNA, 397 nt
Filed under: uncultured bacterium
Lineage: Bacteria
Description: bacterial SSU rRNA
Rfam family: Bacterial small subunit ribosomal RNA
Source: RNAcentral